UGACUAGUUAGGUUUUCUACAGUACGGU
RNAcentral lists this small RNA (28 nucleotides) under Bombyx mori (domestic silkworm). RNAcentral's name for it is "ovarian small RNA-31890". The record is from RNAcentral. Lineage: Eukaryota; Metazoa; Arthropoda; Insecta; Lepidoptera; Bombycidae.